RNAcentral lists this ribosomal RNA (406 nucleotides) under uncultured bacterium. RNAcentral's name for it is "partial 16S ribosomal RNA". It matches the Rfam family "Bacterial small subunit ribosomal RNA", at positions 30 to 526 of the family's 1533-position model. The record is from RNAcentral.
AUUGAACGCUGGCGGCAGGCCUAACACAUGCAAGUCGAGCGAGCGGCGGACGGGUGAGUAAUGUAUGGGGAUCUGCCCGAUAGAGGGGGAUAACUACGGGAAACGGUGGCUAAUACCGCAUACUCUCGGAUGACCCCAUAUGGGUUUCGCUAGUAGGUGGGGUAAAGGCUCACCUGGGCGACGAUCUAUAGCUGGUCUGAGAGGAUGAUCAGCCACACUGGAACUGAGACACGGUCCAGACUCCUACGGGAGGCAGCAGUGGGGAAUAUUGCACAAUGGGCGCAAGCCUGAUGCAGCCAUGCCGCGUGUAUGAAGAAGGCCUUAGGGUUGUAAAGUACUUUCAGCGGGGAGGCGUUACUCGCAGAAGAAGCACCGGCUAACUCCGUGCCAGCAGCCGCGGUAAUUC